This 322-nucleotide ribosomal RNA is filed under the name uncultured bacterium. RNAcentral's name for it is "bacterial SSU rRNA". It matches the Rfam family "Bacterial small subunit ribosomal RNA", at positions 28 to 334 of the family's 1533-position model. The record is from RNAcentral.
GACGAACGCUGGCGGCGUGCUUAACACAUGCAAGUCGAACGGGGCGAAGUGAUAGCUUGCUAUUAUGGAGCCUAGUGGCAAACGGGUGAGUAACGCGUAGGCAACCUGCCCUUCAGAUGGGGACAACACCUCGAAAGGGGUGCUAAUACCGAAUGACGUUUCCUGGUCGCAUGACCUGGAAACCAAAGGCCGGGCAACCGGUCACUGAAGGAUGGGCCUGCGUCUGAUUAGCUAGUUGGUGGGGUAACGGCCCACCAAGGCAACGAUCGGUAGCCGGACUGAGAGGUUGAACGGCCACAUUGGGACUGGAGACACGGCCCAG